Unclassified non-coding RNA from Apteryx haastii (Great spotted kiwi), 169 nucleotides. Lineage: Eukaryota; Metazoa; Chordata; Aves; Apterygiformes; Apterygidae. The record is from Ensembl.
ACAACAGCACUGGAGGCUGAAAUCCUCUUUCUCCACAGAGCAGGUACACAGAGGCGGGAGAGGUGCAGGCCUUCCCCAUCCUGCCUGGUCUCUUUACUCAGCCCAGACCUGGCCAGAUCAGCUCAGGAGCCAUCUUUUCUGCACGUUCACUCUUAGACUCUCUUCUGCA